UUGACCUCGGAUCAGGUAGGGAUACCCGCUGAACUUAAGCAUAUCAAUAAGCGGAGGAAAAGAAACCAACAGGGAUUACCUCAGUAACGGCGAGUGAAGCGGUAACAGCUCAAAUUUGAAAUCUGGCCUCACGGUCCGAGUUGUAAUUUGUAGAGGAUGCUUCGAGCAUGGUCUGGCCUAAGUUCCUUGGAACAGGACGUCAUAGAGGGUGAGAAUCCCGUAUGCGGCCAGGUGCCUACGCUCAUGUGAAGCUCCUUCGACGAGUCGAGUUGUUUGGGAAUGCAGCUCAAAAUGGGUGGUAAAUUUCAUCUAAAGCUAAAUAUUGGCCAGAGACCGAUAGCGCACAAGUAGAGUGAUCGAAAGAUGAAAAGCACUUUGGAAAGAGAGUUAAACAGUACGUGAAAUUGUUGAAAGGGAAGCGCUUGCAACCAGACUUGCGCGCGGCCGAUCAUCCGGUGUUCUCACCGGUGCACUCGGCCGUGCUCAGGCCAGCAUCGGUUUUGGCGGCUGGAUAAAGGCCCUAGGAAUGUGGCUCCUCUCGGGGAGUGUUAUAGCCUAGGGUGCAAUGCAGCCUG
RNAcentral lists this ribosomal RNA (575 nucleotides) under Pseudogymnoascus pannorum. RNAcentral's name for it is "eukaryotic LSU rRNA". It matches the Rfam family "Eukaryotic large subunit ribosomal RNA", at positions 1 to 582 of the family's 3401-position model. Lineage: Eukaryota; Fungi; Ascomycota; Leotiomycetes; Thelebolales; Thelebolaceae. The record is from RNAcentral.